Molecule: ribosomal RNA, 925 nt
Filed under: uncultured bacterium
Lineage: Bacteria
Description: bacterial SSU rRNA
Rfam family: Bacterial small subunit ribosomal RNA
Source: RNAcentral
AGAGUUUGAUCCUGGCUCAGGACGAACGCUGGCGGCGUGCUUAACACAUGCAAGUCGAGCGAUGAAACUACUUCGGUAGUGAAUUAGCGGCGAACGGGUGAGGAACACGUGAGGAAUCUGCCUUCUACACUGGGAUAACUCCGGGAAACCGGGGCUAAUACCGGAUAUGAAACUUGGUGGCAUCACCGAGUUUGGAAGGUUUUUCGGUAGAAGAUGACCUCGCGGCCUAUCAGCUUGUUGGUGAGGUAAUGGCUCACCAAGGCGACGACGGGUAGCCGGCCUGAGAGGGCGACCGGCCACACUGGGACUGAGACACGGCCCAGACUCCUACGGGAGGCAGCAGUGGGGAAUAUUGGGCAAUGGAGGAAACUCUGACCCAGCGACGCCGCGUGCGGGAUGAAGGCCUUCGGGUUGUAAACCGCUUUCAGUAGGGAAGAAGCGAAAGUGACGGUACCUACAGAAGAAGCACCGGCUAACUAUGUGCCAGCAGCCGCGGUAAUACAUAGGGUGCAAGCGUUGUCCGGAAUUAUUGGGCGUAAAGAGCUCGUAGGUGGUUCGUUACGUCGGAUGUGAAAAUCUGGGGCUCAACCCCAGACCUGCAUCCGAUACGGGCGAGCUAGAGUUUGGUAGGGGAGACUGGAAUUCCUGGUGUAGCGGUGGAAUGCGCAGAUAUCAGGAGGAACACCAAUGGCGAAGGCAGGUCUCUGGGCCAAUACUGACACUGAGGAGCGAAAGCGUGGGGAGCGAACAGGAUUAGAUACCCUGGUAGUCCACGCCGUAAACGGUGGGCGCUAGUUGUGGGAACCUUCCACGGUUUCUGCGACGCAGCUAACGCAUUAAGCGCCCCGCCUGGGGAGUACGAUCGCAAGAUUAAAACUCAAAGGAAUUGACGGGGCCCCGCACAAGCAGCGGAGCAUGCGGCUUA